GUACUUAUCUGGCAGGGGAGAUACCAUGAUCAUGAAGGUGGUUUUCCUAGGGCGAGGCUUAUUCAUUGCACUCCAGAUGUGUUAAUCCUUAUGAUUUCCUCAAAUGCAGGAAAUUCAACUGCAUAAUUUGUGGUAGUGGGGGGGGGGCUGCAUUUGCACUCUCCGG
Small nuclear RNA from Phodopus roborovskii (desert hamster), 166 nucleotides. RefSeq annotates it as U1 spliceosomal RNA. NCBI's taxonomy places the organism in Eukaryota, Metazoa, Chordata, Mammalia, Rodentia, Cricetidae. The transcript has a single exon. The record is from RefSeq and is a predicted model, not a curated record.